UACAGAGACUGCAAGCGUUAUUCGGAUUCACUGGGCGUAAAGGGUGCGCAGGUGGCCAAGUGUGUCAGGUGUGAAAUCCCGGGGCUUAACUCCGGAACUGCGCCUGAAACUGCUUGGCUAGAGCAUUGGAGAGGGAAGUGGAAUUCACGGUGUAGCAGUGAAAUGCGUAGAUAUCGUGAGGAACACCAGAGGCGAAGGCGACUUCCUGGACAAUUGCUGACACUCAGGCACGAAAGCGUGGGUAGCCAAAGGG
This 253-nucleotide ribosomal RNA is filed under the name uncultured bacterium. RNAcentral's name for it is "partial 16S ribosomal RNA". It matches the Rfam family "Bacterial small subunit ribosomal RNA", at positions 524 to 776 of the family's 1533-position model. The record is from RNAcentral. RNAcentral also lists the same sequence under 1 other name.